UUGUGGUUCCACCCUCAGCCCUGGGGGCGACUCCAAAGCGACAUUCACCAUCCUUGUGUAACUGGACCUGCAGGAGACCCCAGAUGGGCCCUGACAAACAACACCUAGCUUCAUAGUUUAAGCUUGCACUCUGAAAUUCUAAUUUACAUGGAGAAAAAUCUUUUCUUUGACCAUGAUUCCUAAAGGCACCAGGGAAACUAGAGCUGAGUUGUGGUGGAACAAUGAAUGAAGUGCUAAAAAAUGUUCCCGAACUCUCCCGAUUGGUAUUUGCUACUCCAGAAACCACUCCCUAGUCUGAGAAACCAGUUGUGAAAUAGAACAAGGAAACUAGAACAUCUGAGGGCACUCCCUUGAGAGCUUAUAUUCUGAUGCUCUUCCUGCUCUCCUGCCUCCUGCCCCACCCGCGUUGCUGGUGACCCUGAGAAGUUAGGGCUGGGUUCUGCCCAUGAAUCACACCAAAGGCCACCAUGAAGACAGGCACCAUCUUUGUUCUGGUGUGGCUUUCAUCGUCACAGGGUUGGAGGUGGCCUGGGCUCAGAGACCACCUUUGAAAGGAUGACAGAGAUCUGGCUUCUGCCCAAAAUUGCCCAAAGGUACCAUGAGGCCUUGUGUGAAAAUGUGCACAGGACAUGAAUCAUGUCCCAGUGGAAUGAAAUGUUGCAGCAAUGGGGUGGCCCUGGUGGCCGUGACAAAGCUGGACCUGAUGUUGAUUGAGCCUGCCUGGAGACCAGCCCCCAAAAGUUGCUCAGGAAUCUAUGAAUUCGAAGCUGGGCAUAACAACAAGACCUCCACAUCCACUCCUGCCUACUUCCUGUCCCUGGAGUUGGAGCCCUAGAAGAUGAAGCUGUAAAAUGGUGGAACAAUGGCUUUCUAAACAGCUUGUAUCCUAAAGAAACUCUAUCUGUGGCAUUCUUUGGGUUGUGUGGUUCUUUCCACUUAGGCAUUCUG
Molecule: long non-coding RNA, 948 nt
Organism: Hippopotamus amphibius kiboko
Lineage: Eukaryota; Metazoa; Chordata; Mammalia; Artiodactyla; Hippopotamidae
Exons: 3
Source: RefSeq, a predicted model, not a curated record